GACGAACGCUGGCGGCGUGCCUAAUACAUGCAAGUUGAGCGCUGAAGGUUGGUACUUGUACCAACUGGAUGAGCAGCGAACGGGUGAGUAACGCGUGUGGAAUCUGCCUUUGAGCGGGGGACAACAUUUGGAAACGAAUGCUAAUACCGCAUAAAAACUUUAAACACAAGUUUUAAGUUUGAAAGAUGCAAUUGCAUCACUCAAAGAUGAUCCCGCGUUGUAUUAGCUAGUUGGUGAGGUAAAGGCUCACCAAGGCGAUGAUACAUAGCCGACCUGAGAGGGUGAUCGGCCACAUUGGGACUGAGACACGGCCCAAACUCCUACGGGAGGCAGCAGUAGGGAAUCUUCGGCAAUGGACGAAAGUCUGACCGAGCAACGCCGCGUGAGUGAAGAAGGGUUUCGGAUCGUAAAACUCUGUUGGUAGAGAAGAACGUUGGUGAGAGUGGAAAGCUCAUCAAGUGACGGUAACUACCCAGAAAGGGACGGCUAACUACGUG
This 497-nucleotide ribosomal RNA is filed under the name uncultured bacterium. Its description in RNAcentral is "partial 16S ribosomal RNA". It matches the Rfam family "Bacterial small subunit ribosomal RNA", at positions 28 to 507 of the family's 1533-position model. The record is from RNAcentral.